UUAGGAGAACAAAAAAUUGUGGCCCGCAGACCUGCUACCGGUCCGAAACUGACUGCACAGCACCGCAAAGAACAGUUACAUUUUGCCCGUGAACAUUUUAAUUGGACGCUUGACCAAUGGAAGACUGUGCUCUUUUCUGNCAAGCCUGUACCGAGGAGACAGUGGAGUAUGGAGGUGGAUCAUGCAUGUUCUGGGGCGGCAUUUCCAUCGAUAGCAAGAC
Molecule: non-coding RNA, 220 nt
Organism: Cinara cedri
Lineage: Eukaryota; Metazoa; Arthropoda; Insecta; Hemiptera; Aphididae
Source: the annotation of a GenBank genome assembly